RNAcentral lists this ribosomal RNA (779 nucleotides) under Enterococcus sp. gamma3-SB-E3-2. Its description in RNAcentral is "bacterial SSU rRNA". It matches the Rfam family "Bacterial small subunit ribosomal RNA", at positions 67 to 817 of the family's 1533-position model. Lineage: Bacteria; Bacillati; Bacillota; Bacilli; Lactobacillales; Enterococcaceae. The record is from RNAcentral.
CGCUUCUUUUUCCACCGGAGCUUGCUCCACCGGAAAAAGAGGAGUGGCGAACGGGUGAGUAACACGUGGGUAACCUGCCCACCAGAAGGGGAUAACACUUGGAAACAGGUGCUAAUACCGUAUAACAAUCAAAACCGCAUGGUUUUGAUUUGAAAGGCGCUUUCGGGUGUCGCUGAUGGAUGGACCCGCGGUGCAUUAGCUAGUUGGUGAGGUAACGGCUCACCAAGGCCACGAUGCAUAGCCGACCUGAGAGGGUGAUCGGCCACAUUGGGACUGAGACACGGCCCAAACUCCUACGGGAGGCAGCAGUAGGGAAUCUUCGGCAAUGGACGAAAGUCUGACCGAGCAACGCCGCGUGAGUGAAGAAGGUUUUCGGAUCGUAAAACUCUGUUGUUAGAGAAGAACAAGGAUGAGAGUAACUGUUCAUCCCUUGACGGUAUCUAACCAGAAAGCCACGGCUAACUACGUGCCAGCAGCCGCGGUAAUACGUAGGUGGCAAGCGUUGUCCGGAUUUAUUGGGCGUAAAGCGAGCGCAGGCGGUUUCUUAAGUCUGAUGUGAAAGCCCCCGGCUCAACCGGGGAGGGUCAUUGGAAACUGGGAGACUUGAGUGCAGAAGAGGAGAGUGGAAUUCCAUGUGUAGCGGUGAAAUGCGUAGAUAUAUGGAGGAACACCAGUGGCGAAGGCGGCUCUCUGGUCUGUAACUGACGCUGAGGCUCGAAAGCGUGGGGAGCAAACAGGAUUAGAUACCCUGGUAGUCCACGCCGUAAACGAUGAGUGCU